GGGUCCGUAGCUCAGGUGGUUAGAGCGUUCCUCUGAUAAGGGAAAGGUCGAUGGUUCGAGUCCAUCCGGACCCACCA
Molecule: transfer RNA, 77 nt
Filed under: bacterium
Lineage: Bacteria
Description: tRNA-Ile
Rfam family: tRNA
About the family: Transfer RNA (tRNA) molecules are approximately 80 nucleotides in length.
Source: RNAcentral